CCGGCACUCUAUCGGCUUAAAAAGGUGCGGCAGGUGGGAAUAGUAACGUCAGGAGUGUAAUCCCCCCAGCCUCGACCUGUGGAACCUGCCUUGAUACUGUUCAGUUUAGAGGUAUAAGUUGAAGUUGGCCGGAAUGUGGUCAUGUAGCGGUGGAAAUGGCUUAGAUAUGACACAAGAACACCGAUCGGGACGGCAGCUAGGCUAAGCUAUAACCUGACGGUCAUGCACGAAAGCGUGGGGAUCAAACAGGAUUAGAUAUCCCUCGCUAGUCACGCUGUAAACGAUGACUACUCGAUGUAGCCGAUACACUGUCAGCGUCUGAGCGAAAAGCAAUAAGUAAUCCACCUGGGGAGUACGAUCGCAAGAUUGAAACUCAAAGGAAAUGACGGGGGCCCGCACAAGCGGAGGAGCAUGUGGGUUUAAUACGAUGAUACGCGAGGAACGUUACCUGGGCUCGAACGUGAGAUGACUAUGGGAGAAAUCUCAUAUCUCUUCGGAGCAUUUUACGAGGUGCUGCAUGGUUGUCGUCAGCUCGUGCCGUGAGGUGUCGGGUUACGUCCCAUAACGAGCGCAACCCCUACCUUUAGUUGCCAACAGGUAAUGCUGGGGACUCUAGAGGAACUGCCUACGCAAGUAGUGAGGAAGGCGGGGAUGACGUCAAAUCAGCACGGCCCUUACGUCCAGGGCUACACACGUGCUACAAUGGCCGGUACAGAGGGCAGCUACCUGGUGACAGGAUGCAAAUCUCUAAAGCCGGUCUCAGUUCGGAUCGGAGUCUGCAACUCGACUCCGUGAAGUUGGAUUCGCUAGUAAUCGCGCAUCAGC
Molecule: ribosomal RNA, 825 nt
Filed under: uncultured bacterium
Lineage: Bacteria
Description: bacterial SSU rRNA
Rfam family: Bacterial small subunit ribosomal RNA
Source: RNAcentral